Molecule: ribosomal RNA, 501 nt
Filed under: uncultured bacterium
Lineage: Bacteria
Description: partial 16S ribosomal RNA
Rfam family: Bacterial small subunit ribosomal RNA
Source: RNAcentral
AUUGAACGCUGGCGGCAGGCUUAACACAUGCAAGUCGAGCGGGGGAAGGUAGCUUGCUACCGGACCUAGCGGCGGACGGGUGAGUAAUGCUUAGGAAUCUGCCUAUUAGUGGGGGACAACAUCUCGAAAGGGAUGCUAAUACCGCAUACGUCCUACGGGAGAAAGCAGGGGAUCUUCGGACCUUGAGCUAAGAGAUGAGCUUAAGUCGGAUUAGCUAGUUGGUGGGGUAAAGGCCUACCAAGGCGACGAUCUGUAGCGGGUCUGAGAGGAUGAUCCGCCACACUGGGACUGAGACACGGCCCAGACUCCUACGGGAGGCAGCAGUGGGGAAUAUUGGACAAUGGGGGGAACCCUGAUCCAGCCAUGCCGCGUGUGUGAAGAAGGCCUUAUGGUUGUAAAGCACUUUAAGCGAGGAGGAGGCUACUUUAGUUAAUACCUAGAGAUAGUGGACGUUACUCGCAGAAUAAGCACCGGCUAACUCUGUGCCAGCAGCCGCCGUAA